AGUAGAAUUGCUGUGUCACAUGGCAAGUUUAACUUAUUAGGAACUGCCAAAUGUUUUCCAAAAUGGAUGUGCCAUUUCACAUUUCCACCAGCCAU
Molecule: microRNA precursor, 95 nt
Filed under: Marmota monax (woodchuck)
Lineage: Eukaryota; Metazoa; Chordata; Mammalia; Rodentia; Sciuridae
Source: RNAcentral